UUCCACAGUUACUGGUCUGGAACUGUUCAGAACAAUAGCAGUUGCAGUAUUCCAUCUGUGGAAAAUAAACUGUUAUAUUGUAUUGCGUUCCUUCCUCAGUUUAUCUGAAAAGGAUCUCUGAAUGUAACAUACAAAA
This 136-nucleotide small nucleolar RNA is filed under the name Crocodylus porosus (Australian saltwater crocodile). RNAcentral describes it as "Small nucleolar RNA SNORA41 (ENSCPRG00005001862.1)". It matches the Rfam family "Small nucleolar RNA SNORA41". Rfam says of the family: ACA41 is a member of the H/ACA class of snoRNA that guide the sites of modification of uridines to pseudouridines. The record is from Rfam by way of RNAcentral. Lineage: Eukaryota; Metazoa; Chordata; Crocodylia; Crocodylidae.